CACCGCCUGGGGAGUACGACCGCAAGGUUAAAACUCAAAUGAAUUGACGGGGACCCGCACAAGUAGUGGAGCAUGUGGUUUAAUUCGAAGAUACGCGCAGAACCUUACCAACACUUGACAUGUUCGUCGCGACUUUGAGAGAUCAAAGUUUUCGGUUCGGCCGGACGAAACACAGGUGCUGCAUGGCUGUCGUCAGCUCGUGUCGUGAGAUGUUGGUUAAGUCCCGCAACGAGCGCAACCCCCACUUUUAGUUGCCAUCAUUAAGUUGGGCACUCUGAAAGAACUGCCAGUGAUAAGCUGGAGGAAGGUGGGGAUGACGUCAAGUCCUCAUGGCCCUUACGUGUUGGGCUACACACGUGCUACAAUGGUAUCUACAACAGGAAGCAAGACGGCGACGUUAAGCAAAUCCUUAAAAGAUACCUCAGUUCGGAUUGCACUCUGCAACUCGAGUGCAUGAAGCGGGAAUUACUAGUAAUCGUGGAUCAGCGUGCCACGGUGAAUGCGUUCCCGGGUCUUGUACACACCGCCCGUCACACCAUGGGAGUUGGUUCUACCUUAAGGCAAGGUUUUAAACCCUUGACCACGGUAUAGUCAGCGACUGGGGUGAAGUCGUAACAAGGUAGCCGUAGGGGAACCUGCGGCUGGAUUACCUCCUUUCUAAGGAAGAAUAAAAUUAAAAUUUUAUUCUAAAAAAUAUACACAGGUAAUGUUGACCGUCCUCAUUUCUCUUCUUAAAAAAGUGUUUCUCUUGCAUGGGGGCCGGUAGCUCAGUUGGUUAGAGCACACCCUUGAUAAGGGUGGGGUCGAAAGUUCGAGUCUUUCUCGGCCCACCAAUUUAAGAUUAAGGGGGAUUAGCUCAGCUGGGAGAGCGCCUGAUUUGCAUUCAGGAGGUCAGCGGUUCGAUCCCGCUAUCCUCCACCAAAACACUUAGUUAUAUGAAAUCGUAAAUAAAUUAAUAAUUAAUAUCAAUAUCUAUAUCCGAACAUUAGUACUGUUAUUAGCUAAUGUUCAAAUAAAAAUUUGAUUCAACACAGAAUUUUUUUCUG
RNAcentral lists this small RNA (1046 nucleotides) under uncultured Pelagibacterales bacterium. RNAcentral describes it as "bacterial SSU rRNA". The stretch from base 1 to 657 matches the Rfam family "Bacterial small subunit ribosomal RNA", at positions 867 to 1533 of the family's 1533-position model. The record is from RNAcentral. Lineage: Bacteria; Pseudomonadati; Pseudomonadota; Alphaproteobacteria; Candidatus Pelagibacterales.